GCUCCCCCGUCGCCAUGGCAACGGUAGCGGCCUGCGGCCCCCGACGGAGCCCGGGCCGGGCCGGGCCGGGGCUAAACGCCUAAAAUGCAUAUUUUUUGUCCUGAACUGUUCCUACCCAGCACGUGUGCAGUCCUGUGAGUAACUCCUCCGGUUACCGGUACAGACCAGGAGUAUUUACGAAUAUAUAUCCAUGUAAUCAGGAGCAGAAUUGGAGAAGCGGGUAAUUUAUAUGGAAGUUACCCUUAGGAGUUGGUUUUCUGAAGAGGUUCACCCUUCCCUUUCUAAGGAGGAAACUAACUGAUAUUGAUAAAACUUUUUAAAGAUCCAUAACGGUACCUCAAGUCGGCAGGGAGAUCAAAAUCCGUAACAAAACUGUUCCUAAUCUCUUUGGAAAAUUAAAAGCUGCACCAAGCAGCUGUAUCAGCAUCACCCUGUUUCCUGCUAAACGCUCCUAGGAUGGGAACUCUACAAAAAUAACUGAUCAUCAACCCGGAGUUGUUUAAAACUGAAGUUGCCUCCUGGGGCAUCUUCCUGCCCACCGCAGUUGCAGAGACCUUCGCCUGCCCCAGUUCUGAUCAAAGACUUGGGGAAACCGUGUACUCGCUACUCCCACAAAACUGAACCUCGGGGAAAGAACAAGCUGAAAGUAGCGGAGGAGCUGCCAGGCCGGCAAGAAGGCGAGGACAUGGUGCUGGUCUUCAGCCCAGGACCAACGGGUCUCAGCAGCACCAACAUCCAGCUUGCAGAGAGCAUGGGAAAUGUUGAGAAAAGAGAGGGCUCGGUAACUUUUUUCAGACCAAGAAGAGUUUAUGGAUAGCGUGCCUCAGCCAGUGGUCCCUGACCUUUGCUAGCUGGCAGUAAUGUUGAAGGAGCAGCUCACUGCCACUGAUGUGCUGUUUUGCUCACCCUGCCAAUCAAAGCCAAAACACAUAACUAGAAAGUCUACAAAAAGCAAACUUUUUGCAAAGCAAAGCAUGGGACGAGGCAAUGUUGGAGAAUCUUGGACCACUGGGAAUGGCGACAGCCCAAGGAGAGCUCCUGCAGGCUGGAGGGUCUCAGGGAGCUGGGGCAACGUUUGAAGGAUGAUCUGGAUCUUCCCAGGUGGCUGCAGAAGGGAGAGGACCACCUUGCCUCAGGGCAUGUGCUUGGAUUCUUUGCACGUCUCUCCCAUGAGAGGCAUGCAGGGGGCAAAUGAGAGGCAGGGCUGCUGCAUCACUAAAAUAAACUUGCUUUCCCGUUCCAUCUGUGGUCAGGAAGCACUAACUGUUCAGAGGUUUUGCUCCUCAGCGCAUGUUGCAGACAGCACACUUGAAAACUACACAGAUUCACAGCAUUUGUUUUCUGGUCAUAACACUACACUUGUGUGACGCUUGUUUCUUGAUCUGGUCUCCGGUAAGAUUCACCAUGUGGCCUCACGAGAGCUUGCAAUGGCACAGAGACCGUCUCAAAAGCAGUCCACAGCCCUGUGUCCAGCCGAUCACAAACUGAAAACCCCU
This is a long non-coding RNA of Rhea pennata, 1496 nucleotides long. RefSeq lists it as uncharacterized. Lineage: Eukaryota; Metazoa; Chordata; Aves; Rheiformes; Rheidae. The record is from RefSeq and is a predicted model, not a curated record. The transcript is spliced from 4 exons.